GCAUAUCAAUAAGCGGAGGAAAAGAAAAUAACAAUGAUUCCCCUAGUAACUGCGAGUGAAGAGGGACAAGCUCAAAUUUUAAAUCUGUCGGGUUCUCCUGACCGAGUUGUAAUUUGAAGAAGCGUUUUCUGCGCUGUUUGAUCAGCCCAAGUCUUAUUGAAUGAGGCAUCAUGGAGGGUGAUAAUCCCGUUCGGCUGAUCAUUGUGCUAUACGAUACGCUCUCAAAGAGUCAAGUUGUUUGGGAUUGCAGCUUAAAAUGGGAGGUAAAUUUCUCCUAAGGCUAAAUAUUGGCGAGAGACUGAUAGCGAACAAGUACCGUGAGGGAAAGAUGAAAAGAACUUUGAAAAGAGAGUUAAACAGUACGUGAAAUUGUUGAAAGGGAAACGAUUGAAGCCAGUCGUACCGGCGGGUAAUCAGCCUUUCGGGUAUGAUUCUGUGGAGUGUGAGGAGCUAAACACCUUCAUGCCUGCAUAUUCGUGCUCUUGGGUGUACUUGCUCGUGUGGUAGGUUAACAUUAAUUUCGGACGUCAUAAAAUGGCUGGAGGAAUGUAGCUUCGAUCUCGUAUUGAAGUGUUAUAGCCUUCGGUAGAUGUGGUGAUCGGGAUUGAGGAUUGCAACGAAUACCUUCAGGGCUGCUCCACCUGGCCUCUCAUCGGCAUCCUGGCGGCGACAGCUUGCUGACGUUGUUAGGAUCAGCCUUCGAACAGGCUAGAGUGUGAGCAAAUUCGUUAAGGAUGUUGACGUA
Molecule: ribosomal RNA, 745 nt
Filed under: uncultured Glomeromycotina
Lineage: Eukaryota; Fungi; Glomeromycota
Description: eukaryotic LSU rRNA
Rfam family: Eukaryotic large subunit ribosomal RNA
Source: RNAcentral